UGGAAACGUGCCACCCACAGGUCUUGCUCUACUCCAGAAAACCAUCACUUUGAGCUCCUUCAACCCCACCUGCGUUGGGCACUGCCCAUUCUUUGUACCCUGCGAUGGCCCCCGUGUCACACGUGGCACUUGUGAAGACUUCUUGACAUAACCGUCUUUCUUCUGAGACCUUGAGCACCCCCUGGACUGCUGGGGUUUGAUUCCUCUUGCGAAUAAAUAAAGUAGGACUUUGUGAAGAUGUUGCUCAAGCCACGUCUGAUGCUCUACGUCAAUUGAUUGUCAUUGGCCUGUUGAGAGGCCGUCUUCAGGGGACUGCUAAGGACACCACGUACAAGAGGAUAGCCACAUGGGCAAACAUGUUGCCGGUGAACAGCAGGCUUGGAUAAUUCUAGGAGGACCUUCUCUGUGUGGCAGCAGGAGAGGUCUCGAAAACUGAAAUGCAUGUUUUCGAUCCAGUGCUGAGCCAUUUCUAAACAAUUCGUGUCAAUGACUACUUCUCACGAAAUAAUACCAAGGCACCACUUGUAUGAUUCUAAGUACCAUCCAGAGGUGAAAGCACCCCAGGUCCGUGCUCCUGGGCAGUCCAGAAUUCUCCAUGACCGCCUCUGCCACUACAAUUGGAAAGCUAGAGAGCAAUGCAGGUCUUCUCUACUGGUGUCCCUGUUUGUGACUCAUGUGGCGGAGGAACAUUCUGGAAAAUGGAGCUUAGAUAAAGAUAAGAGAUGAAGAGAAGAUGUACUUUGGAAGUAGAUGAUACUGCAAUUUUUGGGAGAAUGACAAGUUGGUCUAUGUCCAGCUUUGCCUUUCUGGAACCACCUAUCCCCAACAAAAUACAGUAUUUUCCAAAAAAUGCGCCCAUUUCCCACUCACGAUGUCUUUGUCCUUCAUUCCCCUAACUGAAGGAGGAGCCUGUAUUGGCUUCCUA
This 925-nucleotide long non-coding RNA is filed under the name Canis lupus familiaris (dog). RNAcentral's name for it is "lncRNA (ENSCAFG00000054603.1)". Lineage: Eukaryota; Metazoa; Chordata; Mammalia; Carnivora; Canidae. The record is from RNAcentral.